UAUCUCUCCAUACAAUCCGCCUCAAUCUUUGACGUUCCAUGCCUUUGGUAGCAUUCUCGACAUGAAACACUGGCUGACUAACAUCCUGAUUCUGACUCUCUGGCUAGAGUGUAAAGGAGAAGACAGUGUGACCCAGCCAAAAAGAGAUGUCAUUACUACUGAA
Long non-coding RNA from Perca fluviatilis (European perch), 163 nucleotides. RefSeq lists it as uncharacterized. Lineage: Eukaryota; Metazoa; Chordata; Actinopteri; Perciformes; Percidae. The record is from RefSeq and is a predicted model, not a curated record. The transcript is spliced from 3 exons.